AAGGACAGAGGUCGGCUAAGAUCGCAACGUCCUGGGGCUACGUUAACUCACCCCAAUGAAAAGAUUUGUUGCAAUGCCGACACUAACACGUCCUGUGUG
Molecule: small RNA, 99 nt
Filed under: Oceanobacillus picturae
Lineage: Bacteria; Bacillati; Bacillota; Bacilli; Caryophanales; Bacillaceae
Description: Bacillaceae-1 RNA
Rfam family: Bacillaceae-1 RNA
Source: Rfam by way of RNAcentral